This 1529-nucleotide ribosomal RNA is filed under the name Klebsiella pneumoniae. RNAcentral's name for it is "bacterial SSU rRNA". It matches the Rfam family "Bacterial small subunit ribosomal RNA". Lineage: Bacteria; Pseudomonadati; Pseudomonadota; Gammaproteobacteria; Enterobacterales; Enterobacteriaceae. The record is from RNAcentral.
AGAGUUUGAUCAUGGCUCAGAUUGAACGCUGGCGGCAGGCCUAACACAUGCAAGUCGAGCGGUAGCACAGAGAGCUUGCUCUCGGGUGACGAGCGGCGGACGGGUGAGUAAUGUCUGGGAAACUGCCUGAUGGAGGGGGAUAACUACUGGAAACGGUAGCUAAUACCGCAUAAUGUCGCAAGACCAAAGUGGGGGACCUUCGGGCCUCAUGCCAUCAGAUGUGCCCAGAUGGGAUUAGCUAGUAGGUGGGGUAACGGCUCACCUAGGCGACGAUCCCUAGCUGGUCUGAGAGGAUGACCAGCCACACUGGAACUGAGACACGGUCCAGACUCCUACGGGAGGCAGCAGUGGGGAAUAUUGCACAAUGGGCGCAAGCCUGAUGCAGCCAUGCCGCGUGUGUGAAGAAGGCCUUCGGGUUGUAAAGCACUUUCAGCGGGGAGGAAGGCGGUGAGGUUAAUAACCUCAUCGAUUGACGUUACCCGCAGAAGAAGCACCGGCUAACUCCGUGCCAGCAGCCGCGGUAAUACGGAGGGGUGCAAGCGUUAAUCGGAAUUACUGGGCGUAAAGCGCACGCAGGCGGUCUGUCAAGUCGGAUGUGAAAUCCCCGGGCUCAACCUGGGAACUGCAUUCGAAACUGGCAGGCUAGAGUCUUGUAGAGGGGGGUAGAAUUCCAGGUGUAGCGGUGAAAUGCGUAGAGAUCUGGAGGAAUACCGGUGGCGAAGGCGGCCCCCUGGACAAAGACUGACGCUCAGGUGCGAAAGCGUGGGGAGCAAACAGGAUUAGAUACCCUGGUAGUCCACGCCGUAAACGAUGUCGAUUUGGAGGUUGUGCCCUUGAGGCGUGGCUUCCGGAGCUAACGCGUUAAAUCGACCGCCUGGGGAGUACGGCCGCAAGGUUAAAACUCAAAUGAAUUGACGGGGGCCCGCACAAGCGGUGGAGCAUGUGGUUUAAUUCGAUGCAACGCGAAGAACCUUACCUGGUCUUGACAUCCACAGAACUUUCCAGAGAUGGAUUGGUGCCUUCGGGAACUGUGAGACAGGUGCUGCAUGGCUGUCGUCAGCUCGUGUUGUGAAAUGUUGGGUUAAGUCCCGCAACGAGCGCAACCCUUAUCCUUUGUUGCCAGCGGUUAGGCCGGGAACUCAAAGGAGACUGCCAGUGAUAAACUGGAGGAAGGUGGGGAUGACGUCAAGUCAUCAUGGCCCUUACGACCAGGGCUACACACGUGCUACAAUGGCAUAUACAAAGAGAAGCGACCUCGCGAGAGCAAGCGGACCUCAUAAAGUAUGUCGUAGUCCGGAUUGGAGUCUGCAACUCGACUCCAUGAAGUCGGAAUCGCUAGUAAUCGUAGAUCAGAAUGCUACGGUGAAUACGUUCCCGGGCCUUGUACACACCGCCCGUCACACCAUGGGAGUGGGUUGCAAAAGAAGUAGGUAGCUUAACCUUCGGGAGGGCGCUUACCACUUUGUGAUUCAUGACUGGGGUGAAGUCGUAACAAGGUAACCGUAGGGGAACCUGCGGUUGGAUCACCU